Heteronotia binoei (common prickly gecko) is the source of this 1126-nucleotide long non-coding RNA. RefSeq lists it as uncharacterized. Lineage: Eukaryota; Metazoa; Chordata; Lepidosauria; Squamata; Gekkonidae. The transcript is spliced from 2 exons. The record is from RefSeq and is a predicted model, not a curated record.
CUCACCGUUCCAGCCUGAACGGGCGCCGAUUGGUUGAAAGAUUGACUGGCUGCCGGAUCUAUCCAUUCAGUGGCCGCUAGUGGGAUUAAAUCUCCUCCCACCGAAGGGGCGUGUCUUCAAAAAGGGGCGGGCUACAGCCAACUCUGGGCUGCGCGGCGCAGAGGUAGAGGGCGGUGGGGACGCCAUUUUGUGAAGAGUCCGGAGCGUGGAAGAGGAGAGCGUAGCCGUGAAAGGGAAAUUUUUUUAAAGAAAAAAAAAUUAGUAGUAAGGAAAGGGUCGCGGUACCGGAGCUGGGGGCCUCCCGGGCAGCAAGGCGAAAACCCCCAACCCUUCCUUCACUGGAGCUCAGCUUCGUGGUUUUUUUAAAAUAAUCCCCCCCCUCCCCAACGCACGCACACCCCCUCUCCCCAAUGUCUUAGAGCCAGCCGCUUGUACUAAACGAGCGCCUUCGUGGCUACCCAGCAUUGCCUUGCAGCCAAGCCGUUUGGAUUGAAAGAAGUGCUAAUUUUGGAAAAAAAUCACCUUUUUUUUCCUGCAGCAGCUGGGUUAGGAGGAGGAGGAGGAGGAACCUUUUAGCCUCUCGUGAGUGCAAGUCUCUUGCAGGCAUUUUUAGAGUGCAAAUGGUAUUCCAAGGGCUUGGAUCAUUUCCUGCCGGGAGCUCUUCCCUGCCUGGUUCUGCAGUAACUGGCUGGAACAAGAGCGCGGAAAGGGGGAGAAAGAACAGAGAAAAAAAAAUUGAGAGAAUUUGCUGACUUUGACCUUUUGACGCCUCCCGUUUUUCUAAUCUGGGCUAUUUUUAUUUUUGUUUUUUUACAGUGAGAUUUUUUUGAUCUUCAGCGACAGUAAGUUAUUCCAAUUUUUUUUCCAUAUUUUUUUUCCUGCCUUUCCGACUGAUUUCCUUUUGAUCGUUGUUGCUAGUUACUUAUUGAUAUUAUUGCUACUAUGAUGGUGGUGAGACUGUGACUUUGAUGUGUUGCUGAUGGUGAUGAUUUAAAAAAAAAAAAUGACUGCUGAUUUUUAACCGGAUGAAAAUGGAGUUUUUCUGAGUGGUCCUAGCUGAACUUUGGGUUUUUAACCCCUUGGGUGGGGAAACGCAACAAGGUUUUUAAAACCCAUUUUUUUAUUA